AUGAACCUGCUCAGAGUGGAGAACAAGGAGCACAUGCAUGCCCAAAGAUGCAGGUCACUACGCCUGCCUCGCCACCAGCUUGCUUGGUUCAAGUGCAGUUUGUUCUUCUCUGUUGACAAGCCAAGUGGACAUUGCAGUUUCCCUCAUCCUGCUGAAGAUCCCUUGGCAAGAGUGAUGGAGAAGCAGAGACUCCAAAGCCAGGAUCUGGCUGCAGACUGCUCAUUCAAGGAGAGCAUCCUGCUUUGCACUGGAACAAGAAGUCUCCCCAGCUCUGAUCCAGAAUUUGAGGAUCCAGAGGGUAGAGCCUGCUGCCAGGCACUGCGAGCCCAGCCCAGCCAGCCUCCAAGGGCCAUUGGGCCAUCACACUGAUGUUGCAAGGCGGUAACAAAAGGAUGCAGGAAGUCCUUAUGAGGAGGAUGCUGUGAUGAGGAAGUGAACAAGAUGAGCUGUUAAUAAAAGACACAAAGCAUUGAAAUCUCUCGGAAUA
Molecule: long non-coding RNA, 487 nt
Filed under: Phasianus colchicus (ring-necked pheasant)
Lineage: Eukaryota; Metazoa; Chordata; Aves; Galliformes; Phasianidae
Description: lncRNA (ENSPCLG00000012343.1)
Source: RNAcentral